This is a long non-coding RNA of Tripterygium wilfordii, 1241 nucleotides long. RefSeq lists it as uncharacterized. The record is from RefSeq and is a predicted model, not a curated record. Lineage: Eukaryota; Viridiplantae; Streptophyta; Magnoliopsida; Celastrales; Celastraceae. The transcript has 3 exons.
CCAAAAGAUGGAGAGGAUUGAACUCCCAGCCUUUAUUUCACUUCAAUGGAAGCGGGAACUAUCAUAUCGUCAACAGUUCCAUUCAGUGGAGCUAUAUACGCCCUAUCAGCAAAGCCGAGGAGAGAUUGGGUAUCGAACAAUGAAGAUUUCGUUCGGAGCUUGCCAAUAUGCGUCGGAGGGGUCAUCAUGCUCCCUGUGCUCUUUAAUCGCACGGUUUUGCCGGCUAGUAGUUCACAAUGUAGGGCUGAUCUAUUGACACUUGGAUUGGCUGUGACAAACAAAUUAACUGGUCUGGCUGUCAAUCCCGCCAAAAUCUAUCGCUGUGGUGAGGUCUCUCUCCCUCUCUCUCUGGUGUGGCCAUUGGUUUCGUUGCAUGUGUCUGUCCGCAUGUACAAAUACACAAACAGAAAUUUGCACAAGACUUGAAAUCCAAAAAAGUAUAAUUCUCUGGACUGCCUAUUCAUUUUGUAGAUUGAAAAUUUUCAUUUAUGAGCUUGAUUUCAGGUAAAUCCUCAAGAUGUCGAGUGUCAGAUCAUAUCUUCUCAACUCACCAACACUGUAAUUUCUGAGUUAUUAUGGAUGCUAAGAGGUAGAAUGGAGCAAAAUUAUGCUGGUGGAAACACAGUUAACUACUUACUUUUUAUGCCCUUCCUUAGGGUAUGGGGUUCCUUUUCGACUGUCACAUGCUGCAGAUCUCUUUUUGUUGUUUAGGAUUGCACCUGUAUCCUAGAAAUUAGAGUGGCAGCUGAAUCAUCCAAUGACUGCGAACCUCUAGCAGUAGAUGCUAUUCAAUUGAUUCACGGAUCACUCUAUCAAAGUGUCAUGAAAUAUUGAGCACGUAAGUAAUUUGCCAGAAAUUGCAUUAUUUAUCAAUAUGGUAAUCUCCUUCUUGCAAUCUUGUGAAGUUUUCUGUGAAGAAGUAAUUUUAACUAGAUCACCAAUUUUUAGUACCAUUGUUUGCUGAGAGCUACUUGGCUAACAUAUCUCUUUAUCCCGGGAAAUCUGAGCUGCCCUUUUUGCCUUCAAACACACAGGUAAACUACAAUGCAUUAGUUGGCCUUGUUCAAGUUCCAUUCAGAUUAUUGUAAAGCACUUGUUGUCGCUUCUCUUUUGGGCUUAUGAAGAUCAUAUACUUUCUUAUUUGGGUUUAUUAACCAGUGCCCUUGUCCUUUUGCUCUGUUUAUUAACAAAUCCCACGGUGUGUAUUUCAAUUUAUAUAUAAUUUCUGGCUUUGAAAGAAA